ACUCCCCCCCUAGCCCUCAAAGUCCUACCCCUAAUCCAAUUAACUUCAUAAAUAACAAAAACAUUUUUUUCCUAAGUAUCGGCGAGAGAAAAGACAGUAGGCGCGAUAGAAACAGUACCGCAAGGGAAAGAUGAAAUAAAAAACUUACCACAAAGUACAACACAGCAAAGAUUAACUCUUUUACCUUUUGCAUUAUGGUUUAGCUAACCAUAAGCGUGGCAAAGAGGACUAAAGUCACCAACCCCGAAUCUGGACGAGCUACUAACCAGCAAGAUAAGACAGCACUAACCCGUCUCUGUGGCAAAAGAGUGGGAAGACUGGUUAGUAGAGGUGAAAAGCCUAACGAGCCCAGUGAUAGCUGGCUGCUUGGUAAUAGAAUAUAAGUUCUACUGAAAACCUUCUGACUAACCACAUCAAAGGACAAAGAAAGCUUUCAAGUUAUUUAAUGGAGGUACAGCUCCAUUAAUGCAGGACUCAACCUCUACCUAAGGGUAAACCUAGUUAAGUCAUAAAUGUAGGCCUUAAAGCAGCCACCACAACGAAAGCGUCAAAGCUCCUACCAAUAAAAAUACCAACAACAAAAUGAACCCUACAACAUAACCAAGUCUUUCUAUAAUAUUAGAAGAGAUUAUGCUAGAAUUAGUAACAAGAAAUCUGAUCUUCUCCUAAGCGCAAGCCUAUACUCCUUAUGACACACUAUUGGUAAUUAACACUUCUUCUCAAACCCACUACAAAUAUAUAGACCAACACUGUUAACCCAACACAGGCGCGCAGCAGGAAAGGCUAAACCCUGCAAAAGGAACUCGGCAAACAGAGAUUCCGACUGUUUACCAAAAACACAGCCCCCAGCUUAACCAAGUAUUGGGGGUGAUGCCUGCCCAAUGACUUAAAGUUUAAUGGCCGCGGUAUCUACAACCGUGCGAAGGUAGCGUAAUCACUUGUUCUUUAAAUAAGGACCAGUAUGAAUGGCUAAACGAGAAUCUAUCUGUCUCUUGCAGAAGGCCAGUGAAAUUGAUCUCCCUGUGCAAAAGCAGGGAUUUUAACAUUAGACGAGAAGACCCUGUGAAACUUUCAAACUCCUGAAUUAUAAUAAACUGUAAAUUUCCCCCUAAAUUAGCCCCACUAUCACUAAUACGUUGAUUCAGAGUUUUCGGUUGGGGCGACCCCAAAAUAAAAAAAACUUUACAGGAAAAUUGUGACACAACCACUGACCAAGGCCUACACCGCAAAGUGCUUAAAUGUAAUCAGAUCCGGCGCAAGCCGAUUUAUGAACCAAGCUACUCCAGGGAUAACAGCGCAAUCCCCCUCAAGAGCCCUUAUCGACAGGGGGGUUUACGACCUCGAUGUUGGAUCAGGACAUCCUAAUGGUGUAACCGCUAUUAACGGUUCGUUUGUUCAACGAUUAAAGUCCUACGUGAUCUGAGUUCAGACCGGAGAAAUCCAGGUCGGUUUCUAUCUAUGAAUGUGAACCUUUCUAGUACGAAAGGACCGAGAGAGCAAGGCCUAUGCCAGCAAAGCACGCCUUACCUAAACUUAAUGAAAAUAACUAAAUUAAUAGCCAGGACAAUCAUCUCCUUGCCAACUCAAUAUAAGAGUACAG
RNAcentral lists this ribosomal RNA (1600 nucleotides) under Osteolaemus osborni. Its description in RNAcentral is "Osteolaemus tetraspis osborni 16S ribosomal RNA". It matches the Rfam family "Bacterial large subunit ribosomal RNA". The record is from RNAcentral. Lineage: Eukaryota; Metazoa; Chordata; Crocodylia; Crocodylidae.